GUUAGGAAUAUUGGACAAUGGGCGAAAGCCUGAUCCAGCCAUGCCGCGUGUGUGAAGAAGGUCUUCGGAUUGUAAAGCACUUUAAGUUGGGAGGAAGGGCAGUAAGUUAAUACCUUGCUGUUUUGACGUUACCAACAGAAUAAGCACCGGCUAACUUCGUGCCAGCAGCCGCGGUAAUACGAAGGGUGCAAGCGUUAAUCGGAAUUACUGGGCGUAAAGCGCGCGUAGGUGGUUCAGCAAGUUGAAGGUGAAAUCCCCGGGCUCAACCUGGGAACUGCCUCCAAAACUACUGAGCUAGAGUACGGUAGAGGGUAGUGGAAUUUCCUGUGUAGCGGUGAAAUGCGUAGAUAUAGGAAGGAACACCAGUGGCGAAGGCGACUACCUGGACUGAUACUGACACUGAGGUGCGAAAGCGUGGGGAGCAAACAGGAUUAGAAACCCUAGUAGUCC
RNAcentral lists this ribosomal RNA (450 nucleotides) under uncultured bacterium. RNAcentral's name for it is "partial 16S ribosomal RNA". It matches the Rfam family "Bacterial small subunit ribosomal RNA", at positions 354 to 796 of the family's 1533-position model. The record is from RNAcentral.